GAGGGUAUAACUCAGUGGUAGAGCUAGUGCUUAGCAUGCACAAGGUCCUGGGUUCAAUCCCCAGUAACUCCA
Molecule: transfer RNA, 72 nt
Filed under: Camelus bactrianus (Bactrian camel)
Lineage: Eukaryota; Metazoa; Chordata; Mammalia; Artiodactyla; Camelidae
Also listed under: 3 other names
Rfam family: tRNA
About the family: Transfer RNA (tRNA) molecules are approximately 80 nucleotides in length. Their secondary structure includes four short double-helical elements and three loops (D, anti-codon, and T loops).
Source: Rfam by way of RNAcentral